UACGGAGGGUGCAAGCGUUAAUCGGAAUAACUGGGCGUAAAGCGCACGCAGGCGGGCUUUUAAGUGAGAUGUGAAAGCCCCGAGCUUAACCUGGGAAUAGCAUUUGAAACUGGUAGUCUAGAGUACUUUAGAGGGGGGUAGAAUUCCAUGUGUAGCGGUGAAAUGCGUAGAGAUGUGGAGGAAUACCAGUGGCGAAGGCAGCCCCCUGGGCAUGUACUGACGCUCAUGUGCGAAAGCGUGGGGAGCAAACAGG
RNAcentral lists this ribosomal RNA (253 nucleotides) under uncultured bacterium. RNAcentral's name for it is "partial 16S ribosomal RNA". It matches the Rfam family "Bacterial small subunit ribosomal RNA", at positions 524 to 776 of the family's 1533-position model. The record is from RNAcentral.